CAGCAGGACUGUAGCAAUACAGUUGCUGGCGACCGGCAAACGGGUGCGGAACACGUACGCAACUUACCCUUGUCUGGGGCAUAGCCCGGGGAAACCCGGAUUAACUCCCCAUAAGAUAGUGGUGUGGCAUCACACAGCUAUUAAAACUUUGGUGGACAGGGAUGGGCGUGCGGCUGAUUAGGUAGUUGGUGUGGGUAACGGCCUACCAAGCCUGCGAUCAGUAACUGGUGUGAGAGCACGACCAGUCACACGGGCACUGAGACACGGGCCCGACUCCUACGGGAGGCAGCAGUAAGGAAUAUUGGUCAAUGGACGCAAGUCUGAACCAGCCAUGCCGCGUGGAGGAUGAAGGCCCUCUGGGUUGUAAACUUCUUUUACAGGGGACGAAACACUCUUUUUCUAGAGAGCUUGACGGUACCCUGGGAAUAAGCACCGGCUAACUCCGUGCCAGCAGCCGCGGUAAUACGGAGGGUGCAAGCGUUAUCCGGAUUCACUGGGUUUAAAGGGUGCGUAGGCGGGCUUGUAAGUCCGUGGUGAAAUCUCUGAGCUUAACUCGGAAACUGCCAUGGAUACUAUGGGUCUUGAAUACCCGGGAGGUGAGCGGAAUAUGUCAUGUAGCGGUGAAAUGCUUAGAUAUGACAUAGAACACCAAUUGCGAAGGCAGCUUGCU
RNAcentral lists this ribosomal RNA (670 nucleotides) under uncultured Saprospiraceae bacterium. RNAcentral describes it as "bacterial SSU rRNA". It matches the Rfam family "Bacterial small subunit ribosomal RNA", at positions 70 to 730 of the family's 1533-position model. Lineage: Bacteria; Pseudomonadati; Bacteroidota; Saprospiria; Saprospirales; Saprospiraceae. The record is from RNAcentral.